AAACGUAGGUGGCAAGCGUUGUCCGGAAUUACUGGGUGUAAAGGGAGCGCAGGCGGGGUGCCAAGUUGGGCGUGAAAACUAUGGGCUCAACCCAUAGAUUGCGCUCAAAACUGGCGCUCUUGAGUGAUGGAGAGGCAGGCGGAAUUCCCGGUGUAGCGGUGGAAUGCGUAGAUAUCGGGAGGAACACCAGUGGCGAAGGCGGCCUGCUGGACAUUAACUGACGCUGAGGCUCGAAAGCAUGGGUAGCAAACAGGAUUAGAUACCCUGGUAGUCCAUGCCGUAAACGAUGAUUACUAGGUGUAGGGGGAUAGACCCCCUCUGUGCCGCAGCUAACGCAAUAAGUAAUCCACCUGGGGAGUACGGCCGCAAGGCUGAAACUCAAAGGAAUUGACGGGG
This 396-nucleotide ribosomal RNA is filed under the name uncultured bacterium. RNAcentral describes it as "partial 16S ribosomal RNA". It matches the Rfam family "Bacterial small subunit ribosomal RNA", at positions 523 to 918 of the family's 1533-position model. The record is from RNAcentral.